Molecule: unclassified non-coding RNA, 74 nt
Filed under: Pseudomonas moorei
Lineage: Bacteria; Pseudomonadati; Pseudomonadota; Gammaproteobacteria; Pseudomonadales; Pseudomonadaceae
Source: RNAcentral
AAAAAUCGCAGCCUUCGGCGGCGCCUACAGGACGAUGUAUUCAUCUGCAGGAGCCGCCGAAGGCUGCGAUCUUU